RNAcentral lists this long non-coding RNA (392 nucleotides) under Ananas comosus (pineapple). RNAcentral describes it as "long non-coding RNA (ACOM_LNC043283)". The record is from RNAcentral. Lineage: Eukaryota; Viridiplantae; Streptophyta; Magnoliopsida; Poales; Bromeliaceae.
CAAAUUAAGUUUGCAUUUUUUCCUUUUUUUAAGCCAAUUCGCAUAAAAAAUUUACAAAUUUUAAAUUUUUACAAAAUUAGAUUAUCUUUUUUAAUUUUACAGAUUUGGAUCGAAUUUUUCAUCCUUAGACGAAAAUAUCAUUAUUCCUUUUCUUUCUCUCUUUUCUUUUUUUCUCUCACUUUUUUUUCUCCUUUAUUAUUAUUUUUUCCACCAUCUUCUCCUCCGCAGCGCCCUCCACAUCGCCUCCUCCUCCUCCGACGAACCCACCUCCUCUUUCUGCCGCCUCUCCUUCUCCCACGACAACACCCCCACAUCCUCCCCCAGAUCUAACCUCCACCCCGACGGCGCCAAUCUCGAGGACUCCCGCGGCGGCAGCGGCGAAGGAGGAGGCC